GAUUUAGAAGAUGCAAGCAUACCUGAUGAGCAAGAAAGCAGUGUUGGACAAGAGAAUUUGAACCUCAGAAUAAAAGAGCUGGAGAAAUUGGAGCAAAAACUGAAAUGCACUUUAGACGACUACAUGGAGUCAGAUUCUGUGCUAAGAAAUAGGAUGAAAGAACUGGAGCUGUCACACAGAACACUUCUUGUAAUGAUUGAUCAACUAAACGUGAAAGUGCACCAUUUUGAAAAGGCAAAUGUGCAUGUUAAAGGGAAACUGCGAGAAGUUUGGGAGGAGCUGCUGAGCUUGGUUGAAAACCAAGAGAAGUCAGAGAAGAAACAAAAGGAGAAAUUACAUUGGCUUCUGGAGCAGCUGAAGACAAAAGAAAAUGAACUAAAAAGCCAAUCUGAGUAUUUUGAGCACUACAAACAAAGGCAGAAGCAACAGACAUCAGUGCUGAGAAAAAGGGAAUGUUACCUUCAGGAUGAGGUGUUUAGACUGGAAAAGCAAGUGCUAGAUCUCAGUGCCCAUAUUGCUCUUUUGACAUCUGAGUUAGGAGAGGGAAUGGCACAGGGUCUCCAUAAGAAGCUGGAAUCAGCAUCCAAAGGCACGCAGAGCUAUAAGCAUUCUAAUAUGCAACUCACAGAAUUGAAAAACUCCAUUGGAAAUGUGGAGCAUGACAUGAAAAUCCACUUUGAGUCAUUUCAGAAAAAUCUGAAGUUCUUAAGGGAUAAAGAGGAGGACAACAGAAGAGAAAGAGCAGACCUGCUGACUCAGCUCCAGUGCUCCCAGGACACCGAAGACUUUCUCAGGAGAAAAUUGGAAGAAUCUUGUCAUCAUGUCUAUAAUCUGAAACUAUCUGAAAUCAAACUACAGGAACAAGUGAACAAGCUUUUGGAUGAAAACAAGUCUUUAAAAUAUCAAGCUAGGGUGAGGUUAAAAAAGAAAGAAGAAAAGGACUUGCAGCUUACAAGACCAGAAAGUACAGACAACAGUGCUGACUUGAACAGAGACCUACACCAGCAAGAUGUUCAAAACCAGAAAAGGGGAGCAAUCACAGAUCAACAGAGAAGCAGAGCUGCUCAAACUCCAAUUGUGCUGCUGCAUGCCAUGGAGUAUGUAACAGAAACACUGGGAUACAGCUGUGAUGGGCCUAAACAGACAAAAAGGCUACGAGAAGAACUGCUGCCAGUUUUGGAGCACAAUUCCAACACCCUUGCAAAUGCUGCUGAAGAACUCGGUUCUGCUAAGACCAAACUGGUCACCCUAGGAACAAAAAGUACAGGUGCUUCAGAAGACAGUUUCACGUUGUUUAGAUGUACCCCCAGCUAUUCUAUGGCAAGACUGCUUCCACCUUGCUCUGAAAAAGUAACUAACGGAGAAACAAGCAAAGGAAACAAAGAUGGAGAAUACUUUUCUUUCUUGAAAGAACAAGCUAUACAUCUACCAGCAAAAAUGUUCCCUGUUUCUGUGGUUGAAGAUUUGAUGAGAAACAAACCCAACAUUAUCUUGUUAAAACCGGAAAGCUAUGAGGUAGAGGCUGUCACAACAGUGAAGAAAGUGAGGAGUUUGGAUUUCAGUGGGGCAAAUACCAGUCUUUGCUUGGAUGGUCUCUGUGUUGUUACAGAAGAAGGUUUUUCUGAUAAAGCUCCUACAUCUCUUUGCGGAAAUAUUCCAUGUUCUAUGAUUAAAAAUUUUGCAUCCUCUCUUCAAAAAUACAGAGUGGAAAAGCAUCACCAAAAGAAAUUAAUUCUACCAAAAAGUGAAAGUAAGAAUAAAAGUUCAGAUAAAAGUGUUCAUGAUAGAAAAUAUCACCAAAAAAUCUUUAGAUCGAGAAUUAAAGGAGAAGAAAUACAGACUGAGAAAUCCCAAGUACAACAGAUAAUCUCUGUUUUUGGGGAAAAUUCUAAUGUUUUAAAUAAGAGAGGUUUGAUAAAGCCUGAGAAUCAGGGAAUUGAAGCCAAAGACAAACGAGGUACUCCACAAGGUGUCCACAAAAUAUCUGUGCAUGUGAAAGACUUUCAGAUGCAUUUCAGAGAGAGUCCUGAACGAGUGGAGAAACAAGGAAGACUCACAGAAAUCUGCAUAUCUGAUGUGAUGAGGGUGUGCAAAGGUGGAGACACGAUAAAAAUGGGAGAGGAAAAGAAGAAACCUCAGAAGACAACUCACCAAAUAAACCCUUCAAGAAAUAUUGGACUGAAAGAAAAAAAAGUCCAGUCCCUGAAACUACAUGAAUCAAAUGAGAAUAAUUUCUCAUGUCAGGAAAUUGCUGCUGAAAGCAUGCAAUGUACGUACUCUCAGAAAUGUUUUUGGUCAGAGGAAGAGGGUAAUCCACUAAACAUAUUGUUUCCUAUGCAGAAGAGGUCAUUGUGUUUAAGCAAACAGUUCUUGUCAGAGAACAAUUUUUCUGAAUAUUUCUUUCACUUGUCACCACCAGCAGCGGUUCAUGAGUGUAAUAUGAAAACAUAUGUAUUGGAAAAAUUAGUGGCAAUGUGUUCACAGAGGAUAUUUCUGCUGAUGCAAGAGAAUGAAAACUACUUUAAAAAGGUCUGUGUAUUACAAGAGGAGAAUGAGAGAUGCGUUCAGAAGAUGCGUGCACUGGAAGAGGACAUGAAUGCAUAUUUUCAGUACGCUUUAGAAGCUGAUGAUGAUAACAGUGUUUCUUUUCAAAAUUUACUCAAUGAGAAUGAAAUUGUUGGUAAAUGUUAUAAUGUGUCAGAAGGAAAUACCAAGAGUCCAGGAACAAUUUUUGCUAAAACCAUCUCUAAGAAUCUCUCUUACAUUGAUGAGAGAAGUAGGAAUUUGGGGAAAGACUUAUUACCAAUUGAAUUAGAUAAACUUCCCAAGAGUGUUUUACCUCUAGAUAGAAAGAAAAUUAGAUAUUUUCAGCUACUUUCUGACCUAAAAGAAGAAAGAAGAAGGUGCUUCAAAGAAAUGGCUAAAUUAUUACAAGACAAGGAAAACUAUAUAGCAAAAUAUAAUGAAUUAACACAUGAGAGAGAGGGAAACUUAAAAAGAAUAUCUCUUUUAGAAGGUGAAAAGGAAAAUUUAUUGGUAAGUUUGGCAGAUAUAAAAUGUGAACAAGAUAAAUACCGGACCUUGGUCUCAGAACUUCAGGAGUGCAAAACUAGCUGUUAUCAGACUAUUUCUGACUUACAGGAGGAAAAAUGUAUCCUGAAAAGAGCUAUAGACCAAAUUAAAAAAGAAAAUGCAGAACAACUUGGUGAGUUUCAGAAAGCAAAUGCUGACUUCAUUUUAGAAAAUAACAAAUUGAAAGAAUUAAUGUGUUCUUUGGGUUUCUCCUAUGAAGAUCUGAGGAAAGAAAUAAGUUUGGGAACAAAGGAAAAGGUAGUAAAAAUAAAAGAAGAAAAUAAAACUCAACAGUAUGGUGUUAAGCCAAGGAAAGUUGAAACAGCGUGUGGUGUAACUCAGACUGAAGAAGAAGGAAGAGACACGUCCAGCUAUUUCCACAGCAAAGAGAGCAGGAGGUCUGAAAGCUACAGUGCGAUGAAAGAACAAGUGGAAAGGACAAAAGAGGAGUUAAAAACACAGCAAAAAGAAUUAGAAAAAUCAAAGAGAGAGGUAAGCUCGACAUUGAUGCAGUUCUGAAGAGCAAAUUUGUUUUCUUCUUUGUUUUCUUACAUGGCUGCUUUUUCUGCCAGUGCUUAAUGUUUUUACUAUAGGGGAAGUCUCUGAUCUGCAGAACCAAGAUCUUUCAGCUAAGUGAUGAAUUGCAUAGUUAUUCAGUUUUGGUCAGAAUUUCCGGUGAAGCUGCAUUCCUUCAGCAUGCUUCGACAGAAACUGAGGGGUUAAUAAAGACACUCCAAACAAAAUUUUUGCUGCAGCCAGCUCUGGCCUCCCUCCCCCUCAUUAGGAAUGAAGAGUAAGAAGUAUCCUCACAUGAGGAUUAUGGCAAACCUGAAUUCAGAGUAAUUUUUGAAGAAGAGGAGAAGGAGCAUAAAAUUUGACUCUGCCAAGUGGUUUUGCUGUACCAAGUGAUAGUGCAAAGUAUGUGCACUUCCUCAUCUCUUGACAUGUAUGUGAUAAUAACCAUCUCCAUGGAAAUUCUUGUUUGAAUGGAGAGCUAGUUCUGUGCUUCUGUACAGCAAAUCUGUGGUUUUAAUACCAACAGAGGAAGCUAAGCUUUCUGUGUUGUACCUUUCCUAACACAUCAGCUUUAAUAUUUCUAUUUUUAUUUCACAAUCUCCAUGUCCUGUUUAUCUUAACAGUAUUGCUUUAUGGCAUGCUUGAAUUUAUGGGUCUGUUUCACACAGUAAGAAGCAUCAUGCAGACUGUCUGUGGAAAAACAUCAACAAUAACAAAUGUUAUACUGG
This is a long non-coding RNA of Meleagris gallopavo (turkey), 4316 nucleotides long. The record is from Ensembl. NCBI's taxonomy places the organism in Eukaryota, Metazoa, Chordata, Aves, Galliformes, Phasianidae.